AGAGUUUGAUCCUGGCUCAGAUUGAACGCUGGCGGCAGGCCUAACACAUGCAAGUCGAACGGUAACAGGAAGAAGCUUGCUUCUUUGCUGACGAGUGGCGGACGGGUGAGUAAUGUCUGGGAAACUGCCUGAUGGAGGGGGAUAACUACUGGAAACGGUAGCUAAUACCGCAUAACGUCGCAAGACCAAAGAGGGGGACCUUCGGGCCUCUUGCCAUCGGAUGUGCCCAGAUGGGAUUAGCUAGUAGGCGGGGUAACGGCUCACCUAGGCGACGAUCCCUAGCUGGUCUGAGAGGAUGACCAGCCACACUGGAACUGAGACACGGUCCAGACUCCUACGGGAGGCAGCAGUGAGGAAUAUUGCACAAUGGGCGCAAGCCUGAUGCAGCCAUGCCGCGUGUAUGAAGAAGGCCUUCGGGUUGUAAAGUACUUUCAGCGGGGAGGAAGGGAGUAAAGUUAAUACCUUUGCUCAUUGACGUUACCCGCAGAAGAAGCACCGGCUAACUCCGUGCCAGCAGCCGCGGUAAUACGGAGGGUGCAAGCGUUAAUCGGAAUUACUGGGCGUAAAGCGCACGCAGGCGGGUUCGUUAAGUCAGAUGUGAAAUCCCCGGGCUCAACCUGGGAACUGCAUCUGAUACUGGCAAGCUUGAGUCUCGUAAGGGGGGUAGAAUUCCAGGUAGCGAAAUGCGUAAGAUCUGGAGGAAUACCGGUGGCGAAGGCGGCCCCCCUGGACGAAGACUGACGCUCAGGUGCGAAAGCGUGGGGAGCAAACAGGAUUAGAUACCCUGGUAGUCCACGCCGUAAACGAUGUCGACUUGGAGGUUGUGCCCUUGAGGCGUGGCUUCCGGAGCUAACGCGUUAAGUCGACCGCCUGGGGAGUACGGCCGCAAGGUUAAAACUCAAAUGAAUUGACGGGGGCCCGCACAAGCGGUGGAGCAUGUGGUUUAAUUCGAUGCCACGCGAAGAACCUUACCUGGUCUUGACAUCCACAGAACUUUCCAGAGAUGGAUUGGUGCCUUCGGGGACUGUGAGACAGGUGCUGCAUGGCUGUCGUCAGCUCGUGUUGUGAAAUGUUGGGUUAAGUCCCGCAACGAGCGCAACCCUUAUCCUUUGUUGCCAGCGGUCCGGCCGGGAACUCAAAGGAGACUGCCAGUGAUAAACUGGAGGGAGGUGGGGAUGACGUCAAGUCAUCACGGCCCUUACGACCAGGGCUACACACGUGCUACAAUGGCGCAUACAAAGAGAAGCGACCUCGCGAGAGCAAGCGGACCUCAUAAAGUGCGUCGUAGUCCGGAUUGGAGUCUGCAACUCGACUCCAUGAAGUCGGAAUCGCUAGUAAUCGUGGAUCAGAAUGCCACGGUGAAUACGUUCCCGGGCCUUGCACACACCGCCCGUC
RNAcentral lists this ribosomal RNA (1395 nucleotides) under uncultured bacterium. Its description in RNAcentral is "bacterial SSU rRNA". It matches the Rfam family "Bacterial small subunit ribosomal RNA". The record is from RNAcentral.